Molecule: microRNA precursor, 209 nt
Filed under: Oryza nivara
Lineage: Eukaryota; Viridiplantae; Streptophyta; Magnoliopsida; Poales; Poaceae
Description: MIR812 microRNA precursor family
Rfam family: MIR812 microRNA precursor family
Source: Rfam by way of RNAcentral
AAUAAGUGUAGUUUUGCACUAUUUACGUUCAACGUUUGACCGUCCGUCUUAUUUGAAAAUUUUUUAUGAUUAGUAUUUUUAUUGCUAUUAGAUGAUAAAACAUGAAUAGUACUUUAUGUGUGACUAAAUGUUUUUAAUUUUUUCACAAAUUUUUCAAAUAAGACGGACGGUCAAACGUUGAACGUGAAUAGUGCAAAACUGCACUUUUU